This is a long non-coding RNA of Lycium barbarum (goji berry), 498 nucleotides long. RefSeq lists it as uncharacterized. Lineage: Eukaryota; Viridiplantae; Streptophyta; Magnoliopsida; Solanales; Solanaceae. The transcript has 2 exons. The record is from RefSeq and is a predicted model, not a curated record.
ACCAAAGAAGUAAAUAAUAAGCAUCUAUAAAAGCCCCCUUCCACUCCUAGUCUCAACCAGCAUUCAACUUCUCAAAUCACGUUCAUCUCUCUAGUUCUCUCUUGGUGUGUAGAUGGGACACUCCAUGCGUUUGUUUGCAACUCUCUUCCUUGUAGCAAUGCUGCUUUUGGUCAUUGAAAUGGGACCAAUGAGCAGUGCAGAGGCGGCAAAGACCUGCCAGUUUCAGAGCCGCUAUUUCAAGGGGCCAUGUCUUAGCGAUGCCAAAUGCGCCUCCGUCUGCAAGAUCGAUUACAAAUUCUCCACCGGCGGACACUGCCUUGGCCUUCGCCCCACCUGUAUCUGCACCAGAGACUGUUAAAAAAUAAAGAGAGGAGAAAUGAUCUUUUAAUUGUCUCUGUAAUUGUUUCUUUUUAAAGUAUCCAUGAGAAAUAGUGUUGUUUAAUAAAAAGACUAGCUAGCAUCAUAAAUAUUGGUGCUUAAAUUAGUCCUUGCCUGGUU